UACGUAGGGUGCGAGCGUUAAUCGGAAUUACUGGGCGUAAAGCGUGCGCAGGCGGUUCGUUGUGUCGGCGGUGAAAGCCCCGGGCUCAACCUGGGAAUGGCCGUUGAAACUGGCGAACUGGAGUGUGGCAGAGGGGGGUGGAAUUCCGCGUGGAGCAGUGAAAUGCGUAGAGAUGCGGAGGAACACCGAUGGCGAAGGCAGCCCCCUGGGCUGACACUGACGCUCAGGCACGAAAGCGUGGGGAGCAAACAGG
Molecule: ribosomal RNA, 253 nt
Filed under: uncultured bacterium
Lineage: Bacteria
Description: partial 16S ribosomal RNA
Rfam family: Bacterial small subunit ribosomal RNA
Source: RNAcentral